Long non-coding RNA from Salmo trutta (river trout), 1966 nucleotides. NCBI's taxonomy places the organism in Eukaryota, Metazoa, Chordata, Actinopteri, Salmoniformes, Salmonidae. The record is from Ensembl.
UGUAUGAGCAUGCGUCCGCAUGUGUACGCAUAAGCCUGCGCAUGUGAGAAUCCUGUCAGCUUGCAGUCAUCUGACAUCAUGUUCCAAAAGGGAUAUUUCCACGGGCCCAGGGAAGGGAAGGGAGUAGGCACAGGUUGUUACCAUGACUUAUAGAUUUCUCUGCAUUUUCCGACAGCGCUGAAAUAUGGGAGAGGAACAGAACAGUAACUCAUUCUGGGAAACAGAAUAGUACAGGCAGAGAUGAAAACAUGAACACUGAGGAGAGGAGAGGAGAAGAGGCAAGAGAGGAGAGGAGAGGAGACGAGACGAGAGGAGACGAGAGGAGAAGAGACAAGAGAGGAGAGGAGAAGAGAAGAGAGAAGAGGAGAAGAGGAGAGAAGAGGAGAAGAGAAAAAUAAAACCCACCACUGGAUGACAUAGAAGGUGAGAUGGAUGGAUCCUCUCAGAAGCCUUUCCAUGAUCUCAGUCUCCUCUCUCUUCCUAUCGUUAACACAACAACCAGCAGCAACACACCCUUGCGAUGUUCAUAGGAAACCAAGAGAGGCAGAUGUAGUGUCAGCCUACAUACAGUAUGUAAAAGCCCAGCUGUCUACCGGUACAGCAACACGCUGCGUUGUGGCCUGCUGCCAUUCUACACAGAGUGAAACCACACUGACAGCCACCACAGUGGAUAACAGCUAAUGAAACACCCAGAGAGAGAGAGAGAGAGAGAGCUCACAGGGGUAGGCCAAGACAUACAUCUGCAAUGUAAAGGCAACUACUAUUGUAGUUGCCUUUACCUCUCCUCUCCCAUUCACGUGCAAAUUAGUGUUUAAUCUCAGUGCCUUAAUAGAGAACCAUGGCAACAGAGACAGUCCUAAUGAAGCAGAGGCUCAGGUUAAGAGCUGCCUGCAUGUUGCUACCACUCACAUUCAAUCAGCAUUUACAUACAUAUACACAUUCACUCAAAAACACACAUGCACUCACACACGUUCUAUAGCAGCUUAUAAAUCCCUUAGCUUUGUUCAUUGUCAUGUGACUAUGACUCUAGGUUCUGCCUCUCUUAUUUCCAGCCAUAUUAAAGCUAUUAGGAGAACACAUGUUCCAGACCAGACCUCCUACUGCCAGACAAGACCCAGACGGCACUGCAGACUGAUGAAAACUACUGCCAGACAAGACCCAGACGGCACUGCAGGCUGAUGAAAACUACUGCCAGACAAGACCCAGACGGCACUACAGACUGAUGAAAACUACUGCCAGACAAGACCCAGACGGCACUGCAGGCUGAUGAAAACUACUGCCAGACAAGACCCAGACGGCACUGCAGACUGAUGAAAACUACUGCCAGACAAGACCCAGACGGCACUACAGACUGAUGAAAACUACUGCCAGACAAGACCCAGACGGCACUGCAGGCUGAUGAAAACUACUGCCAGACAAGACCCAGACGGCACUGCAGACUGAUGAAAACUACUGCCAGACAAGACCCAGACGGCACUGCAGGCUGAUGAAAACUACUGCCAGACAAGACCCAGACGGCACUGCAGGCUGAUGAAAACUACUGCCAGACAAGACCCAGACGGCACUGCAGACUGAUGAAAACUACUGCCAGACACAUACAGGCUUUUACUGUCAUGCAUGACAAUUAUACAAAGAGAGAGUCACCCACACACAGAGAGAACGAGAUAGAAAGAGAGAGAGGGAGAAAGAGAGAGAGAGAGAUAGAAAGAGAGAGAGAGAAAUAAAGAGAGAGUGAGAGAAAGAGAGAGAGAGAAAGAGAGAGGGAGAGGGAGAAAGAGAGAGAGAGAGAGAGAGAGCGAGAGAAAGAGAGAGAGAGAGAGAGAGAGAGAGAAAGAGAGAGGGAGAGGGAGAAAGAGAGAAAAGAGAGAGAGAGAGAGAGAGAGCGAGAGAAAAGAGAGAGAGAGAGAGAGAGGGAGAGGGAAGAAAGAGAGAAAGAGAGAGAGGAGAAGCGAGAGAAAGAGAGAGA